AACAAAGGGAAUAUAGGCUAUAUCCACCUGAAGAACACAAAAUUUAACCAAAGUCAAGCAGAAUGCUCAAAAAUAAUGUGUUAUGCAAUAGUUUAACUGUGACACUCAUUUCCAAAUUGCAAACUAAAAGAUCAAUAAUUAAUAUGUUAGAUAGGAAAAAAUAUCAACAUAAAAUUGAGAAUGAAACUUACCAAACUGAAUUGGCCAAGC
RNAcentral lists this unclassified non-coding RNA (210 nucleotides) under Hevea brasiliensis (rubber tree). Lineage: Eukaryota; Viridiplantae; Streptophyta; Magnoliopsida; Malpighiales; Euphorbiaceae. The record is from RNAcentral.